This is a small nuclear RNA of Electrophorus electricus (electric eel), 59 nucleotides long. Its record names the gene U7. It matches the Rfam family "U7 small nuclear RNA". Rfam says of the family: Animal histone pre-mRNAs are spliced by a different mechanism than nuclear pre-mRNAs and self-splicing introns. This processing involves the U7 snRNP, which contains only one RNA species: U7. NCBI's taxonomy places the organism in Eukaryota, Metazoa, Chordata, Actinopteri, Gymnotiformes, Gymnotidae. The record is from Ensembl.
AGGAAAAUCUGCUCUUUUAGUAUUUGUCUAGAAGAGUCCUAAAACAUUUAGGGCUCCAU